Long non-coding RNA from Mus musculus (house mouse), 16526 nucleotides. RefSeq annotates it as predicted gene 45407. The transcript is spliced from 2 exons. The record is from RefSeq and is a predicted model, not a curated record. NCBI's taxonomy places the organism in Eukaryota, Metazoa, Chordata, Mammalia, Rodentia, Muridae.
GUCAUGCUCUGCCCGCAGCUUUAUUCAUGGAGACCCGUAGGUAUGGAACACCCGAGCGAGCCUGUCACAGCCCUCGGCUACGCGCUACACCAGGAGCUUUACUGCAGAGCAUGGUCAGUUACUCCUGCAAUGAUGGCGGGAGUCCCUCGACGCUUUCCAUGUAAAUGUGGGAAAACUUCACUGCAGUAACAGAUGAAGUCAUAGUUAAAAUAGAAUCACAUCUUCUUGUAGCCCUAUCAUCACAGAAAAUACCACAGAGUGGAUGGCCCAAGUGGAAGUGUAUCCUCACGGUUCAGGAGGUGGGGGGCUGAGCACAGGAGGUGCCAGGGUUAGUUUUCUCUUAGCCUGUGCCCUCGGCUUGUAGAUGGAAUCCCCUUGCUGUGCCUUUCCUGUGUGUGUACAUACAUGUCCUUUCUGUGUGCAUACAUGUCCUUUCUGUGUGCAAACAUGUCCCUUCUGUGUGCAUACAUGUCUCUUCUGUGUGUAUAUGUCCCUCCUGAGUGCAUACAUGUCCCUUCUGUCUUUUUUGUGCAUUUAGAAUUUCUCUCUCUUUUUUUUAAAUAAGGAUUCAUGCCAUGGUUGGGGCAGUGGAGUGUAUGUGAAUGUGUGUGUGUGAGUGUGUGUGUGUGUGUGUGUGAGUGUGUGUGUGUGUGUGUGUGUGUGUGUGCGUGCGCGCGCACGCUUGAGCUUAUGUACACACGCAACUUACUCUAAUACCCUAACCACCUCCUUAAAGGCCCCCCCCUUUUUUUUUAAUGUUACAUUCUGAGGUUCUGAGGUUGAAAACUUUAUGGGAUACAAUUCAGCUCAUUCUUUGGAAGAAUCAGCAGUUGGAGAACUAAUUCUUAGCACAUUUUGUUCAAGUGCCUUAUUGCUGGUUUUCUUACUCUUUUGGAAUGCCAUUAAAAGUGAUCUUUUCGGGCUGGGGUUAAGCUCAGUGGUAGAAGCUGGGAUGUGCCAAGCCCUGUGUCUGACUUUUAGCCACAUACAUAUGCACAUACAUUCUUACUGAGGGAGAAAUUUGAAGUUCAGUGAUCUUUUAAAAUAUACUAUUUGUGUGAAUUGUUUGCGGAUUUUAUACCUCUGUGUCAUGUAUUUGAUCGUAUUCGCCGCCACACUCCUAACUUCUCCUGGAGCCACACCUACCUCCUUCCAGCUUAUGUGCACAGCCCUUUCAGGUCAUCUACUGAAGCCAGUCCGGCGGCCCCAUACUCACGUGUGGGACUGUGCAGAUCAGAGAAAUGUCAAAAUUUUGCUGUAGCCAUCAGCACUCCGAGAAAAGGUAAUAUUUUAUAGUAAUCUUAUUUUAGAUAAAAACCUUCUAGAUCAGAAAGUGAUACAAACACUAACACCUCUCCGACUGGGUGGGGCAGGUAUUCUGGGUUUGCUGCAUCUCAGAAUCAGUCAAACCGCUCUUAUUUGCUCAUAAAAUUACACGGUGUAUAGGCGUCAGAUUCUUCAUCCAGCCGCAGGGUGAGAAACUUAUGUCUUAUCCAACACUUGUUGCCAACUUCUGCUGCACGUCCAUCCCAGUGAACCUUUAACACUGCCGAGUCGGCCUCUGGUACACAGGCCGACUUAGUUGCUGAUGGUGUGACCUGGGAAGUGGCUACUUCAGGCUCACCGCAUGAUUACGGUGCACUGAUAAAGCAUUGUCCUAGGAAAAGCAUUGUGUGUGUUGGAGAAACAGGGUGCACGCGUACUACCUUUAGUAUUGCUAGUGGCCUGCUACCUGGGAUCUUUUUUCUUAACUUUUCCUAAAACACAGUCCAAUUUAAUCCUAGAUAAAAUGGAAAUGUUCUGAAGAAGAUAGCAUAGUGCUUUUUUUCCUUAGUAACAGAUAACCCAUCAUGGUUUAGCCCUAGUGCCAGUCAGGUGGAAGCCAGUCUGUUAACUAGGAUUUAUUGAGCAGUCUCAAGGUGUACAGAGCCUAGCUCUGGGCCUUUGGAAUAGAUAGUAAACGCUGGCUCCAUAUACCUGUAAACCAGUCAUGGUAGACAGAGCAGAAAGAUUUGUAAGCAAUUGAAUUAUUCCAGGAGCUAAAAUAAAAAAUGUAGCACGCUUGCACAGAUUAGGAGAACCUUGGUGUGUGACAGACCAUGGGUUGGAAGGCCUCAGUGCUAAUGGAGGACUGGGGUUUAGGAAUGGGCUUUCUUAGAUCAAAAGGAUGCGGAUUAUAUCCUGGCAUUCAGAGACUUAUCAGCUAAGAUGUAGGCGGAAUGUAGCUGGGGGUGUUCAAACUUGAUUGGGAAGGAAACACAGAGGGUCAGUCAGUACUGAAAGCUUGUACAUAAUGCAUUUCCACACAACGGUGAAGGUGCGGGCUCCGUGCUAGGGGGCGCUAAAGAGCAAGCAGGCUUACAGAGGUUCUUAUGAAAGGAAGUGGCUGGGGUGUGUGCAGACGCUUCAGAGGCUGGACUGCUCCCUAAGUAAGGGGACCAAGUUGGCAGAGGCGCACAUAGUUCAGAGCCACCAAGUGACAUCAUUGGAGUUCUGUUGGUCACGAAGUGCUUGGAGACUCACCGGAUUGCUGCAAGGACUUUGGGACGCAAAGAGGACUAAAGCCACAGAGACAUUUGUGACACAUCCUUGCUGCGUUUUGUGACUGUGGGUUCCAAGUGUGUUGGGGACCAUUGUUGGUGUCUGCUUUAGGCAGUGAAACCCGAGAGGAGUAGAGCAGCUGCAGAGUUAGAGGAGGCUGUCAGGGCACAGGAACAACAACCAUGGUUUCUGUGUGAGUGAUGUGUGAAACCUAUUCACUGGGUCCCAGGGGCUUUGGAGAUUGUAAGAAUCAGGUAGGGACUUAUGGGAAAGCGAAUCUCAGUGUGUCAAGCUGAGAGAAUCAAACUGAGAUGCCAUGCAGAUGAGCCCAGGGGAGUUGAGGGGCAUCUGCCUAGUUCUUGCUCAUCCAUACCCUGUGCUUCGCUGUAGCCCCUCCCUUCUGUACUCUCUCACAUCUACUUCCUGUAAGCCCAUGGGGGGGGGGUAGCUCACUCGUCCUCAAUGACGAGGAGUGCCAGCGUUUUGGGGCCAUUUUACCCAAGCCUUCAUUCCUUGCCUAGUUGGAGGAGAGCUUCCCUGUGCAGCUGUGGUGUUGACUCUUGGGGUGAAGCACAACUGCUCUGCAUGUGUUUCUGAGAGAGAUGAUGGCUUAGCAUUCUCCUUUGUCCUCUAGAGCAUCCUUAUUCGUGGAGGCCUGGAGGGUCCACCCUCUAUAAAUAAGUAACCAAACAAAUAAGUAAAUCUUUUUGGCUCUCAGUUUUGAAGGUACCAGUCUGUGAUCAGUUGAUCUGGUAGCUUUGGACCUAUGGUGAAGUAGCACAGCACACAUGGACUGUGUAGUGAUGUAAAACCACUCAGCAUAUGGCUAGAAAGCAAAGAAAACAACGUGGAAGACUUCCACAGACCUCUUCCAGGCCUCAGUAGGGCUGGCCUAGGAACCUCCUGCUAAGCCUUGCUUCCUAGAUGCCAGUCCUCCAAUAAUACAUAGACCUUGGAAGGCAUUCUGCUUCUGUCCUCCCAAGGCUCCUGCUUGGCUCAUACUUUGAAAUGCAUUCUCAGAGUCCAAGGUUGGAACUCUCACAGCUUUGCUCAGAAUUCAAGACUUAAAAACUACGUGGGGCCCCAUGGCCAGGAGGCAAAAGGAUGUCUCCAACUGUUGGUCUGAAUUCUACAGGGGAAGAAGACUUGUCCAGGUUCCCGCUGCCCAGGGAAUAAAGGUGCUGGUGUUUGAAUGAAUGUGCUGGGCCUGGGGUCUGAGUCAAGUGAGACUGGGCAGGCAGGGCAGGAGGAUAGUGGAGCAGGCUCUCGAAGGAGUUGCCUUGCCUCUGAGUGACCGGAAGCGGUGAGGUCUAAGCUCCUGUGAGGUAGAGGAACGCUUCUAUAAAGAGUGUGACAGGAGUUUGUCUGUAUGCUUUCAUGCGCCUGGUUUGUGGAGAAGAGAUGAGCUAGCUUUAGGACACCCUGUGCUCUCUGCCAUUUUCUCUUUUUUUUUUUUCCUCUGUGUGUGUGUGUGUGUGUGUGUGUGUCUGUGUCUGUGUGUGUGUACUUAUCCUGAGACAUUUGUACUCUCCCUCUGUUGCUCACACCCUGGUUUUGUUCAUUAUAUUUCCUGUGUUUAUUUUGUUUAAGAAUCUACUGUUUCCUUGGAAUGGAGAAAUGUCUUCCUUAUCCUUUGUAUGCCUCUUGUUUCUGUCCACACACAGCGCCAUGCGUGUAGAAAGCAUUCAGUAAGCAAUUGCUUUGGCCUGGGCAUUGAAGAGAGAGAACCAACAUAUCAUAUUGGCAAGUUGACAAACUACUGGUUAUAAAAUUAUUGGAAGGGUUGGUUUUCUUUAUGUGGUUAGAAUGAAUAUUUCCAUGUAGCAUAUAUAGGAGUUUAUGUUAGCAUCUUUAUGAAUUAUGGGUAAUAUAGAAGACAGAGAAAGAUCAUCUUGCAUAUGGAAGAGAGUGAAGUAUUUUAGAGCGUGAAAUAUGCUUACAUAAUUUUCUCAAGUAAAUAACUCCCCUUCCUAGGGAGGAAACAUGCCCAGUACAUUUGUUUUUCUUGAUGGGCACACAUAACACCUAAUUUUGAGGUAUAUAUAUACUAUAAUGCAAAAUCAGUAAUUCUUUUUUUUUUCUUAAAAAACAUCUUAGUUGCUGUUUUUUAAAUAGUCAUUAUGUUAAAACUAAAUUUGUAUGUCACUCUUGUUUAUGAAGUUUCUCUUUAAAAUCUUCCAUAUGUGUGUAAUUUGAAUAUUCACUUUACUUUUCUAGAGCAUGGCAUUAAAAUAUUGGUGUAGGCAAGCUGUCAGUUAUCAAACUCAACAUUGUAGCAAGCUGUGAAUUCAUGGGAUAGAAAAGACAUGACAGACCUUGAUUUGUCACAUCUAAGUGAUUCUCUUCCUUCGAACAUUUUUGGAGAAUUCUCCUGACAUUGGCUUGGGCAUUGUGCUGUUUCCAUAUAGUGAUCAACUGAUGUGGGGGCCCAGGACGAAUUUUCCCAGAAGAUAAUGUGUGGUUUCAUUAUUAAACUUUGUAGGUGUGUUUGGGUGGUAAGGUGCCCAGGUGAACUGGCAGCAUUUGACCAUGAUUGCACAAUAAUCUCACAUUGCCAAGGGCAAACCCCAUGUGACAUGAAGAAAAUAAAGAACAGCUGUCCCCAGAAAACUUACACAAGCAAACAGCUUUCUCAUUCGCCAUCUCUGUUUUAAUCAGCAUGGGUGCGAGGUUGAGAGUGGGCGGGAGCAGAGGACAGUCUCGUGUGGGAGGAGCUGCUGAGAGCUAGAGGUGUCUGCAGAGCUGCAAAUGCAUCCCUGAAAUUCUGCAGCCAGGCCUACCAUGCCUGAGGGAGGGAGCUGGAGAGCUGCCAGAUGCCUGCAGCACCACAGAGGCAAGGCUGAAAUUGUGCAGCCGGGCGAGGCAGGCCAGCGUAGUCAUCGCCACAAUUGACACCUUGCUCAUCUUCAGAAAACUCACUUGCAGAAGCUGUUAGCUUUAAAUAAAGGACUGAACUAAACUAAUAAGGGUAAAUGUUUGCUAAGUGGAGGACUGAUCCAUGUCCCUGCUAACCUCAUGUCCCUGUAGUGGAAGGUUGAUGUGUGGUUGUGAAUUCUUUUCUUCUUCAGUGGCCCCCUUUUUUUUUUUCAGUUAAGAACUCUUCAGCUUUUCUUCCUCCUUUGUUUAUCUGUGGUUUUCUUCACACCCCUUAACCCUGGAGUCCAUGCAGUAGGAGUGAACUUUGUCUAGUAAUUACAUGAUGUAGCUUUGGGUAUAUAUGGGGCUGGAUGUAGCACAGGGGCAAGAAACCAGCAAUAGCUGAUUUUCAAGUCGUGCUGGGACUGCGUUUAGACAGAAAACUUGAGAACUUGGUCGAGUUCUCUUGGUAAAAUGUUUUGCUACAGGUUAGUGGUCUUGAUUUUGUGUGUUGACACCAAAAUCGGAUCCGUUUGUGACGUUUUAUCUUAAUGCCUUUAUUUUCCUAGAGCAGUGGCUAACCGUGGACUCUAAAUCGGGGCCUCACUAGCGGCUCAGCUUGAAUGUUAUCAGCACGCUCAUGUUUUCAUCUUCCUCUCACUGUCUGUGAAGGAGGCUGUGCCUGUGUCUCCUCUCUAUCCUUGUUGUGGUAAUGGUACAAGUUGAAUGUCCCCUCACACCCCCGACACGGAGGUAAAUCGGUUCUACUGAUCCUUGGGAAGUACCAGCAUUGAUUCAAGGCUGUCGGCACACUGAGGGACCUUUAAUGAAUAUUUCUUUCUCCUCAUGACAGCUUACAAAGGGGAACGGCUCCCCUGAGUUCCUGGGACUCAGUCAUCUUGUGUGUCUUUGCUAACGAGCAGCAGAAUUAACUGAUAGGAUUUGCACCCUUUCUGGUCCUUGUUAUGAUGUGCUUACUUGAGCAGCAGGCUGUCUCGACUACCAAAAGGGACAGAGGGCGAAGAAAGGAAGAUGCUCGGAAGAACACUGUGGCUAUUGCAUUGUCUUGGGCUCCCAGAACAUUCACAGAAGGGGAGAUGAGGGUGAGAUUUGUGCUGGUUACCUGGAAUUGAUCAUUACCUGGUGUCGUGGCUGCCUUGAAAACAGAUGGCAGCUUCAAGGCAAGGCUGAUGCUUUGGUCUGCGUGGGGAAGGAAUGAAGCGAGGCUUCCAAAGAGCAGGAGCCAACUUCUGCCUUGUGCCCGAGGCUCUCUUCUAAUUUAUGUUAGUCGAAAUUUUCCAUCGCUUGCACCCGAGUUGUGCAUAUUGUGAUGACUGUAUUUGGCUAUCCCAUCCAUCUCAGCUUACUUUAUACUUAGACGUUCCUGGCCACGUGUGUGACUGCUGUGCUUCAGUCAUGCUAUAGGAAAGAUACCGGAGGAUUAGGAUGGGGCUCAGUCCAAUUCUGCAUUCCUCUUAUGAGUGAUCCCAUGCAGUUUCUUGAAGACAGGUAGAGGAAAAAAGGCUCUUGAAGUAGGGACCACUGUCCACCCACAUGUGAGCCUCAGCUGCAGUAGGGACAACUGUCUGCAUGUGAGCCUCAGCUGCAGUAGGGACAACUGUCUGUCUGCAUGUGAACCUCAGUUGCAGUAGGAACAACUGUCCAUCUGCAUGUGAGCCUUAGUUGCAGUAGGGACAAUUGUCUGCAUGUGAGCCUCAGUUGCAGUAGGGACAAUUGUCUGCAUGUGAGCCUCAGUUUCUAGAGUACUGCCUUUUGCUUGCUUCAUUCACCCUCAGUUACCAAGAGCACCACCAAGAGUAACAUAUAACUGCCCCUCAGGGUAAGCGUGGGCUGUGAUACGGGAGAAAACCCAAGACAUUUAGGUUUCAAAUCUCUUCUAAUAGUAAGCAAACCCUUUCUUCCCUAUAAAAGGAAGGGGAUGCUAUUUCUAAGGCUAUAGGCAGCCUGCUCUAUGCUAUAGAGGGGCAUAUUGAAUCAGAAGGCUCUGUGGCAAGGCUUUCCUGGCUGUGGUGGGUGGCUUGUGUGACAAGGUGCUUUGUGAGCAGCUGAAUGGGCCAGGACCGAUCUUAGCUGCUGGGCUGGGUUGUGUGUGGCCUCCAUAGGGUGGCAUGAGAUAUUGACAUGUUUGAAUAGCAGUGUGUCGAAACUAGCCUGGAAAUUGGAUUCAUGAGGAUCAGAUAAUAAACGAUGGUGGGCAGAAUGGCUGUUAGGAUUUCCGACAUGAUUUAUACAGGGGGUGAUAGUGAUUUAAAUGAGGGUAUGUACAGCAUAGAGAUGCUUCAAGAAUUGAUUAUAGAAGUGUUGUAUGGUUGAGCAGUCAUACUCCUGCUUGUAUGGUCAGAGGAAGUGAAAGCCAGCAGGCCACAGUAGCCAAGAAAUGGGAGCAACCUAAGCAUCCAGCUGAUGGCUGGAUAAAGAAAGUGUAGUUUACAUGUACAUACGGAGAGCUGCUUAGCCACAACAGAAAUGUGGUCUUGCCUUUGGCCCCGACACCAAAGAUUACUAGAUGAAUGGAAGUAAGCCCGGCAGAGAAAGGCUGGUACCAGACUGCAUCUCUGUGACCUCACUCAUAGAUGCUCUGAGGAAGUGGCUGUCACAGAAGUAGGGAGUAGAAUCGUGGGUACCAUAAGCUGGGGGUGGAGGCAGUGGCCAAGUUAGCAUGACAGAAGUUCUGCUGUGCUGUUGUUGUGGAGCAGGGCGAUUGCAGGAAGAAGUAGUGAAGUCAGAGGCAAAGGGUUAAACGCUUUCACCUUGAAGAACAUUGCAGGAUGGUUAUAUAUAAUGAUGAUGGGAAUUCUCAUUAAAUAUGUAGAUAGAAAUAUAAUAUUGUGUGUAUGUGCUAGUAUGUUGGAAAUAGCAGGCAGGGAUGGGCAAGAGGAGACACUUGACAGGAAAACAGACAGUUGGCCUGGUGGCCACAGGAAGGAAAGGAAGCCAACCAACCUCCCAAGCCCAGGUCUGUGGUGCGUUAGCCCAGGUCUGUGGUUAGCCCAGGUCUGUGGUUAGCCCAGGUCUGUGGUGCGUUAGCCCAGGCUGAGGUUUGAGAUGAGCAGUGAGUUUGUUUUUAGAUUUUUCUGAAUCCAAGGUUCCUGUGAUAUAUGUGUAGGAACUCAGUUGGAGCUGAGGGGAGAGAAGGAGACCAUCACUGAGGUGAAGAGUGAAGGGUCAAGGAACCAUGGCCACGGGCAUAACGAGGUCAUCAUAGGAUCUUUAUGAGUCUGUGUUGCGGGGACAAUAGCAAGGACAAAAACAAAGGAACCAUAACUAAUCAAAGGAAGGAUGGCUCAUAGCUAAGUGGUAGAUCACUCACUCAGCACACACAAGACCCCUGGUUUAAUCCACAGCAUCUUCUGCCCUUCCCAAAAAAAAGACCAUUACAGAGAGAUCGGUGGAGCACGGUAAGAAGGCAUCCACACGGGAGACCGCUGUCCAACUUGAUCAUUCCAGAAAAUUUAGACAGAAGGCAAGCAACAGCAACCUCCUCCUCCCUGCAGGUGGGACUUGUCCUCAUGGGUUUCUCACAGGAGCCCUAUGUGAUGGUACCCUCCCCCUGGAGGACUCGGGUGGAAGGGCGGAUGCGAUUGAUUGAGGAGACCAGAGGAGCUGCACACAGGGCCUCACACUCCAGUGAGUGGCUUAGGUCUGAACUGUUUACCACAGCGAGCUCAAGGAGAUGGAAGCUCUAUGGGCUCAUCUUUGAAGAGCGCGUUAGAAGGUGUGGACACUGGGAAGGAAGAGCAGAGGGACAGUGUGAGUCUGUCUGUGCUGGGUACAGACUGGAAGUGAGGACAGUAUGCUCCUGACACUGCCUCAGUGUACACACACUGCAUGGCCUACGCAGAUGCUUGGGCGGCUGAAGAAAGAUGUGCCCAGUGCCUGAGGAGUGGGAUCUGCCUUAACCACUGUCUAAAUUUCAAGAGAGUUGAGUUGAUAUAUUUAUAGACUACCACAGGUACUCUCAGUCUCCAAACAACUCAGGAGAUUGUUAAGCAAGUACAUUAUAGAAUAGGCUUGGUUCUAUUGGUGGUUCAGAACAAGUUAGAGGAAGCCUGCCGCUGUCUCAUAGCUCCCACUGGGGACACUGUGUGGCUCAUUCCUUUUGUUAAGAAUCAGACCAUGAGGAGAGACCGAUGGACCCACAUGGUGAGUCAUAGCUACGGCUGAGAUCCAGGGACAGGUAGGGCUUAGACUUCUGCAGUUUGGACCCUAGGAGUUCUUCUGUGUUUUCCUGAAGCUUUGCUUUGGUCUCUAUCCAAGCAUUUCCCCUGGAUGGUUGUUCAUGAAAUAGUGAGCCCUGGGGCUGUCCACCCUGAAAGAGAGAGCUUUUCUCUGUUUUGUAUGAAUGGAAAGUAAGGGCAGCCAUAUUGGUGUGUAGUCCAUUUGAUCUGCCUUCAGAGGUAGCUUUUAAUAAACUGCCUGCUGCAUUUGAGACUCAGAUUAGAGGUGGUAAGCUUUGCUGUAUGUGCAGAGAUCCCAGCUUAGGUCUCGUGUUUGCCUUGUGCCUUCUCCAACUCGUGCUGGGUUGGGAAGUAGGCAUGGGAUGUUGGCUAGGCGUGUGGGUCUUCGUUCCUGUCACGAGCCAGACUGCCUCUUUCCCGUGUGCAGUUACUUGUUGGUUUGGGCGGAGAAUGUCAAGAAGGAAUAGCAUGUGCCAGCGAGGACCCCCACACCACAUAUACAAAGAUGGCACAAAUUGGACUCAGUGGGCAUGCGUGUGGGACAUGCGUAAGGGGUGUAGAGCAGACCUGGGAGGUGUGGGGUGAGCGUGACCCGGAUGUUUUCCAUGCAUGUAUAGAGUUGUCACAGAACUAGUAAGUGCAUUGUAAAAGUGAGAGUGUAAAAAUCAAGUUUACCCCGAGGACGGGAGGUAGCAGAGAUGCUACCCACGGAUGUUAGUUGUCGGUAAUGCUUUGUUUUACACGGGAACUGGGAAAUCUGAACUCACAACCGUAUGCUUACAGCAUAAGUUCGCUUACUAAACCAUCUCCCCAGCUCUUGUCUGUAGUGUUACUUUCCUCUAUGCUAAUUAUCUGGUCAAAAGACAGAAAACGUUGGACAUAUUACAGGUGAACGGGAAUUCUGUAUUUUCUCACUCUAUGCAUUGCAUUCAUUCAUUUAUUUUGUUCCUUGGUGUGUAUGUGUAAGUCACAGGACAGCUUGUGAGUUAUGCCUUACCGCCAUGUGCGUAAGGUCUGGUAGCUGAAGUCAGGUUGUUGGGCUUCCUGGCCGUGUGCCUUUAACCACUGGACCAUCCUACUGGCUGGGAGAGACACAUUUUCCAUGAGUCAUUUCUAUUAAAUAAAUGUUGAUUCGCAUCCUAGCAUGUGCUGUUAUUUUAUAAAUGUGGGCCAUGACCAGCAUGUCUUUCAUGUAUAAUAAUAUAGCUAGCUACUUUGGAAUUAGGUUUAAAAUUUAUAGCACAGUUAAAAACUAAACAAGUGCUUGACUUUUCUCUUUGUUAGUGUCUGCUUGUUUGUUAUAUAAUGUAACCGCAUCUCCUUCCCUGCAUCGGAAGUCCCACCUCUCCUUAGUUCCGCCCCUCUUAGUUCUAAUAUCCUUUGUGUUUUCCUGAUCCUUCCUGUUUGACAUCUGAGGGAAGGAGGAGAUGUACCUGUCGGUCCGCACGAAGUCGACUGGUCCUCUGAGGGGAAGUGAGGCUGAUUAUAGGAAAGACAGAAAGAAAGCUCAAGAGACAGCUAUGGGAGGGCUGCGCGGGUCAUUACCAUGCCAGCCCCAAAUGUAUUUAUCAUAGUCUUCUUAUGCUACAGUACCCUGGAAAGCAAAGCCACAGCUAACAGAAACAAUGCUGGUGGAAAUGUACACAAGACAGUUGUUCUCACCCAAAAAAGCCUUCCAAGGCCAAUAGAAUCUCCAGCCCUCAGCCUCGAGCCUCCCGUGCACCCCUUCUCAUUGUUCCUUGCCUCAGCAGGCUGGGAAAUCUGCCAACAGACCCUGACCUGCCUUGACUGUGCCUGGCAGGCAGACUUUCUCUCUCUUUUUCUCUACUUCAGAGAAAUGGCAAAUGCCUGUCCAGGAGAUCUUCAUCUUCCAAGUCUGGUUCUUUUCUCUGGCCUACCCAUUUUUCCUGAAGAUGGCAAAGUCUUAUUCUUUAUUCCUGAGUAGAGCUCUGUAUGCGAGCUUGAUCCUGUAGACACCAUUUUCGGGGCUUCUUUAUUGAGGUCUUAUACCUACCAGCCUUCCAACCUGUUCCUCUCUAAACCCUUCCAACCCCCAACACUAGGAAUCAAAGCUUUUAUCUGUACCGUGCUCUAUUAAUUCACUCCCGAGUCCCUCACACCCCUCUUUCCUAUUCCCCCGCCCCCCCCCCCCUCAGGAUUGUGAAUUCACUGCCUCCUGUUCAUCAUCGCUCACCAGUUUAGUGCACAGCCACUCCAGUCUUUGCUGGUUUCUGGGUGGUUCUGCCAUCCACUUUCAUGCAUCUUUUCCUUGGUCCCAGGUGCCCUUGCUUUGCUUCCCCUUCCCUCCUUUGUCUGCAUGAGCCAGUGGGUGCAGCCAGUGUUAGUAGCUUCACAAAUGUUCCCUGGAGCCAAGUGGACUCUGCCCGAGCAGCAGCUUCCCUCGAAUGAUGAGAAGAGACUGUAAACAGGUGACACGAAGAUGGGCAUCCCUGUGUGAUAGCACGUGGCAGAGCAGACUGUGGGACAGUCGUGCUAUGUGGGACAUAUUGGAUUUCAGCACACCUGCUGUCCUCAGAGGCUGCAGCUCUAGGCCUCUGUGGAGGUCCGGCCAUGAUUACUUUAUGUCUUUGAUGAAGAGAAGGGAAAUGUUUGUGUGUAUAACCACUGUGGAAAUGACAAUUUUUAACUUAGAAAAUUACUACUGUGCACUAGUGAGCAUUCAUGUCCGGGAAAAUGAACGAUAGUUUGUAUACUUUAACUUUUUUAGCUUAGAUUUCUGUUUUGCCCUAAUCUUUAGAAGUUUGGUUUAAUUUCAAGACAUACAUAUUUGUGCCCAUUGUUUGUAUACAAGCUACCACGAAAAUAGAACAGAAGACACAAUUAAAUGAGUAUUUUUCUUGGUGAGCUAUAUACUGGGGAGGAGAAACCCAUGGUAAAGUAUAGGUCUGCAUUUGUUUAAAGACUUAAGAUGCCACACAUCUGGGGGUUUAGAUUUUUUUUAAGUUGAAAGGGAACGUGCAAUACAUAAUUGUCUAGUAUGACCGGGUGUGGUGGCGCACACCUUUAAUCCCAGCACUUGGGAGGCAGAGGCAGGUGGAUUUCUGAGUUUGAGGCCAGCCUGGUCUACAAAGUGAGUUCCAGGACAGCCAGGGCUAUACAGAGAAACCCUGCCUCGAAAAAACAAAAAACAAAACAAACAAACAAAAAUUGACUAGUAUGUGCUUCUUUGGAUUGGCAAGGUGGGAACACUGAUUUUUAACACAGUGAAAAUAGAGUUGAAGUUCUUCAUUGAGUGAAGGAAAUAAGGAAUUGACCUGGAACCAGGCCAGCUCCUCAGCCUUGGUUUCAGGAAUUGUGACUUAACAGUGUGGCUUGUUUAAAAAUAUAUGAAACAACAAAUUGGAAGGAAUUAAUUGUGAGUUAUGUUAAAAAAUAAAAACAAGAACAGAAAGCAAAAAAAAAAAAAAAACAGGCAGAGUUCUGUGAGAUGGUAUGAGAAAAUUGAGUUUUUUUCUGGAUUAGGCUUGAAUGGGAACUCAUUUUGCUCUUUGCCUUGGGAAGCCGGAGUCCUACAGGGCACAUGUUUAGUGAACAGUCAUGGCACAUGGGAAGGUUGGAGCGUGAGGUGAUCAGUGGUCUUGGCAGCUGAGAUACCAGCCGCAGUGCAGCCACGAAGCACUGUCUAAGUGCCAGCAUUUGCAGGUAACUUCCUGUAGUCUGAGUAAAACUCUUCAAGAGGUACAGUAGAUAGAUGGGUUGGGGCCCUGUUGUGGAUGUGUAGGGUAGAUGGGGGUGGGAGGACCUUACACAGACGUUUCUGCACCAGUGAAAAGGUAAGGGUGUUGGUGGAAUGGCUUCAGGCUGUCUCUUUAUGAGGAUAUUGUAAUGGUUAGCAUGCGCUCUGUGUGCUCUGCACUGGAAGAGUCUUCUAGUGUCCUCUGACCUGGUGAAUGUAGACAGAUAAGGAAGAACUCAAGGCUGAUUUCAAAAUUGUAACUUUAGGUGAUUGGCAUAAUCUUUUGAUUAAAAGAAAGAAUUUUGGAAGAAAAGGCUGGUGCAGUUGUGCUAACUCACCUGUAGUUUGGCAUAUCAGUUACAUCUUCCACCAUCUAUGACUGGUAUGUUGUUGUGAACAGGUAUGUAUGUGUUCCUGGAUGGAAGGUGUGCUGGUUGGUACGCAGCCUUUAGGAACAGAUUAAGAAGAAACAGAAAAUCCUAUAAGACCGGAUGUCUAAUGUGCCAUUUCCUGUAAGACCUGAUGUCUACCGUGCCAUUUCCAACCUGCCUUUGGACAGGUUUUAUUUACAUUUAUUGGAAAAGAGGAAAACCGCUGUUGAGCGGUGUGAUUCUUCCUUGCACUUUUAUUAUGUGAUAAUUAACUCUAGCUCUCGCAGGUUGAUGAAUUUGAACCUGAUUAAUUAUCCGAUGGUAAUUACAAGCUCAGUGAUUAACAUUGCUGAAGCGACAUUCUUAACUUCAUCUCUGUGUGUUUCUGCCACUUUUCAUAAAUGCUCGAGUUUGUUUGAAUGUGACUUGCUCUUGACUUCGCUGAGGUCAAACUACUUAAAUUCUGCAGGGGGGAGGGGGGGCCUAAAAUCCUUAGGAUGUGCCCUUAGUGUGGGAAGGAACCGGGCUCAGUCCUUUACCCUUUUGUAGACUGGAUGUUCUGAUCUUGCUUCUUGAAAGUUUCCUGUGUUCUUUUCUCCUGUGGAUAGGGGUGUGCUCUCCUUUCCCCUCAGUUGUAGCUAUUUCUCCUUACGGAGGGAUUCUCUGCUGCUGGGGUGAAUCGUCACUGUUUUGGAUAAGUGUGUCUAGACUGUGGGCUAGUUCUGCCCUCCUGGUUCCAGUGUGACAUUGAGAGAGAAUGGGGUGUCAGUUGGGCUCAGGCUGUGACAGCAUAGGAUCAUAUGGUGCAGGAUUUAUACACAGAAGUCAUUUCCUCCACUCCCCUGGGAGCUCAAACUUUAGUAAGCCUUUCGCAUGGUUUGUUCUGCAUGUUUCCCCCUCGCCUAUAGGUGGCAGUUGUCUUCUUAUGUCUUCAUGUGGUCUGCUUACUCACUGUCUGUUCCAGAAACCCAUUCUUCUAAGGGUUUAAGCCAUGUAUUUGAAGUUUGUGCAUCUUUUAAAUAACUUCUGUCUAAACACGGGGAUCCUGGAGAGAAGGCUUCAUGGUUGGGAGCACUGGCUGCUCUUCUAGAGGAUCCAGGUUCGAUUCCUAGAACCCACAUGGAGGCUCUGCUGUAACCAGUCACAGAGAAUGUGGUUGCCUCUUUGGGUAUUGCAUGCACAAGUUGUAUGCUUGUAUGUGUAGGUAAAAUACCCAUAUACAUAAAAAAUAAAAAUAAAGGUAAAAAAGAAUUAAACACAGGUUGGAACUAGAAAUUUAAAGUAGAAGUUUCACAAUUUGGUCUGUAACUGAUAGCACCUCCUCAGCCUCCAUCACCACAUCCACACUAUUUGAGAAGCUAUAAAAAUAAAUAAGGAAGAGCUGGGGAUAUGGUUCAGUGGUACAGCGCUUGCCUAGCAUGCUUGAAGGUUUAAUUCAUCUCAAUAUUGCCAGGAAGAAGUAAAAAGGAAACGAUCGUGUGGGAGUGAUGGCUCAGUGAGUUCAGAGCCUCCACACCCUUACCCACACAGAAGCCAAGCAUGGCAGUGUGCACUGUAGCCACAGUGCUAUGUGGUACAGAUGAUUUGAUUCCUAUUUCUGCCCAGCUAGUCUGUCCAUAACAGUGAGUUAUUGGAUCAGAGAGAGGCCCUGCCUCAGAAAAUACUGAGAUAGAGAAGCUGCUGAGGCCAAGACAUCUUGAUGUCAGCCUUUGGCUUCCACGCAUGCCUACACACACACACACAAAUGGAUAAGAGGACUGCAUACUGCAAGAGAAAGAAAAUACUGAUUUUGACUGAGUGAUGAAAGUUUGUGAGUAUAGUGUGCUAUGAGUUACAAACGUGUGUUCACACCAUCUUCUUCCCAUCCCAGUAUAGCACAGGAAAUGCUUUUCCUUGUUCGUAGACCACCCAGAAACUGGAAGUGUCCUGAUGUGCUCAUGUCUAGGUAGAUCUGAACCCAGACCUUUGGACCCUGCAUUAGUCUUGUUCCACCGCAUGCAGGGAGGUUAAGAGUGUAGUCCCUGUGAGCAGAGCCCGUGACCUUUGGUGAUUAGGUUUUUGUGUUCUGAAAAGCUAGGGAUUAGAGACACUUCGCUGGCAGCCAGUAUGUUCUUGUUAGCUUUAACAUUUGUGGUGCAGAAAGCAAGCACGGAGAAAGCUGUAACUCUCUGAGAGGAAAGAGACAAAGGCACAUUUUGGAACGUCUUAUUUGUUAGGGAACAUUUCAGACAUAAAAAGUAAUAUUGCUAUAGUGAGCUCCCAGCUCCCAGUUCUUAAGUCCUGGUUCAACAGUUGGGUGAGUUUUGGAAUGCUUCAUCUGUCCCUUUCUUCCCCUCAAAGCAAAUCUCUCAAGGAACAUUUAAGAUGUGCCAAUUUAAAACACGGACAUUUUCUCACCUAACCUGAUUCCCUCCUGUAGCUUCCUGAUCACUUCUGAGUGUCACUUAGCUAUGAGAGUCCACAUGAAGACAUUUGUUCUACACAUGCUCAACACAUGAAGCUAUGCUGGAGAGUAACUUCUCUUUGUCUUUUGUGUUCAAGGUUUUCAGGUUUCAACAGAGAGUGAACACAUUAAGUUGAAUUAUUUAUUCAUUUCGAUGGAGUUUAUGGCAACUCUCUUUUUUAAAAACACAGAUUCAGUGCUGGUCUUCAGAAAUCAUCUAAACACUUUCUUCUGUAUACCUAUCCACUUUCCAAAAAAAAAAAAAAAACCCAAGUAAAUAAAUAAACAAAACCAUGGAAGUGCACCUGUAGGCACUACAUCAGGCUGUGCCUCAGCAUGGUCUCAUAACUGUGGGCAUCCUUAUCCAUGUGGAACUCUGCUGCAUGUGGUCAUCUUUGGGUCUCAGCUCACGUACGAAG